RNAcentral lists this ribosomal RNA (482 nucleotides) under uncultured bacterium. RNAcentral's name for it is "partial 16S ribosomal RNA". It matches the Rfam family "Bacterial small subunit ribosomal RNA", at positions 30 to 507 of the family's 1533-position model. The record is from RNAcentral.
AUUGAACGCUGGCGGCAUGCCUUACACAUGCAAGUCGAACGGUAACGGGCCUUCGGGUGCCGACGAGUGGCGCACGGGUGCGUAAUACAUCGGAACGUGCCCGAUCGUGGGGGAUAACGAGGCGAAAGCUUUGCUAAUACCGCAUACGAUCUACGGAUGAAAGCAGGGGACCGCAAGGCCUUGCGCGGACGGAGCGGCCGAUUGCAGAUUUGGUAGGUGGGGGGAUAAAAGCUUACCAAGCCGAAGAUCUGUAGCUGGUCUUAGAGGGAGAUCAGCCACACUUGGAACGAGAACCGGCCCAGACUCCCACGGGAGGCAGCAGUGGGGAAUUUUGGACAAUGGGCGCAAGCCUGAUCCAGCCAUGCCGCGUGCAGGAUGAAGGCCUUCGGGUUGUAAACUGCUUUUGUACGGAACGAAAAGCCUUCUUUUAAUACAGGAGGGUCAUGACGGUACCGUAAGAAUAAGCACCGGCUAACUACGUG